AACAAAAGUAUAAACCUUGUUGCGAUGGAUAAUUCCGUUGGAAUUGCAUUUUUAAUGGUCAGGAACCAAAACACACGAAAAUCAGAUUCCCCGCCCCCGGUUAACAUUUCUCCCGUGCACUCCCAAAUCGCGACUUCACCUUCUUUCUUCUUCUCCAUUUUCUCCCUCCCUGCACAUUAAGCAAAACCCACUAAAAAAACCAUCCUACCCGGCUGUCUCUUCCACCGAAAACCACCACUAACAGCGGAGACUCCACCGAUUUGGCGACAGCGGAAGCAAAACCCACUCAUCGUCGUGCAUGACUCGCGAUUUAGUGGUUCCAGUUCAAAAAGUGCGAUUUUUGAAAUCGAUUAAGCUGCCGUUCGACAUCAAGCAAUACCACUUUGCCUAGUAGUAGUGGGUAAUCCAACUUGCCUCCUCCCCGUCCUCUCCUCCACUCGGUUGGAGUCGAUUACUGUUGGGUGCUUAGGAAUUGCUUACAUAUCACUUCUUCAAUCCCAGUUUGUAUUGGAGAGUUGACAGAAUUGGAGAUCUUGGUGGUGGAAGGUCCACGGAGUUGGGGGUUUCCUUUGCUGAUUCAGAUGCCAAGUAUAUAGGGAGGGAAAGUAUGCAAGAAGCAAUGCACCUGGGAAAUUUGGAUAUGAGUGGACCGGAGCAAUCAAUUUGGCAAGGAUAGAGCAGAUGGAAAAGCAAUUAUGCUCCAUUGGAUUCUGUCAGGUAUGGAAAGAGCAUAUGUUAGUUUAGGAUGCUAGAAUGAAUUAAUUUUGUGAAAGACAUUGGGGAUAGUGGGCAACGAUUUUCUCAUUAGUCAGAUAUUUUCAACAAGAUGACUGUCUGAGCAUGCACAAAACCAAAUUGAAAUUAUCCCAUAUGCUUUGGUUUGAUUAUGUAAUAACAGAAUAAAAUCUUGUCAGGAAAAAUAAUUCUUAUUGAACCGCCAAAAGGGGAAAACAACCAUUUCAUAGUAAUAUAGCCUCACUGUCAUUAUGUUUGCAAGCACACCCUCAUUUGCCAAAAAUAAUGCAUUCACCACAUUUAGAUACUUACUUCUAGAAUGAUAUAUAGUAUAUCUGAAAAUAUAUAUAUAUGGCUGGUUGAUGGCAUGAAUCUCCAAGUGGGUCUUUUCAGCUUCUCUAAAGUAGUCAAAAACCAAUUGACUAAUUGACUUGUCUCCCCAAUAUUACACUGAAGUUGCUCUUCCUAAACUGGUUUAUUGAAGACCAAGACCUCAGAAGCUGAUGCUGGUAAACAAAAUGCGCAGCUUGAGGCAUAUGGCAAGAACCUGUAAUUUGGAUGUGUAUUAUAUUUUUUAUGUAUUAUAUUUUUGUGCAUUUUUUUUUAUUUUGUGAAAAACCUUUUCCGAGUAAAAUUCAACGGAAAUAUUUUUUUUCAUCCAUGCAAUUUAUUUGCAGCGAUCACAACGAUAAUUCAUAAUCGUUGGGAAAAAAAUCUAUUUAUUUGUGGCCAUUUAUUAAGCUUUUGCGACGAUAUAUAUCUAUUGCCGCAAUUGAUUUUUCUCAACGAUUUAAUGGUAAACAGAAAUGUCAGUUCCGUCGUUUUUUAAGACAUUUGCGACGAAAUAAAAUCACCAGUAAAUAUAUUUUGCA
Long non-coding RNA from Juglans regia (Persian walnut), 1607 nucleotides. RefSeq lists it as uncharacterized. NCBI's taxonomy places the organism in Eukaryota, Viridiplantae, Streptophyta, Magnoliopsida, Fagales, Juglandaceae. The record is from RefSeq and is a predicted model, not a curated record. The transcript has 6 exons.